CGCGUAAAGAACUUGCCUCACAGCUAGGGACAACAUUUAGAAAUGAAUGCUAAUACCUGAUAUUAUGAUUUUAAGGCAUCUUAGAAUUAUGAAAGCUAUAAGCACUGUGAGAGAGCUUUGCGUCCCAUUAGCUAGUUGGAGAGGUAACAGCUCACCAAGGCGAUGAUGGGUAGCCGGCCUGAGAGGGUGAACGGCCACAAGGGGACUGAGACGCGGCCCUU
RNAcentral lists this ribosomal RNA (221 nucleotides) under uncultured bacterium. RNAcentral's name for it is "partial 16S ribosomal RNA". It matches the Rfam family "Bacterial small subunit ribosomal RNA", at positions 114 to 334 of the family's 1533-position model. The record is from RNAcentral.